UCCCUCAUAGCUCAGUUGGUAAAGAAUCUGCCUGCAGUGCAGGAGACCCUGGUUCGAUUCCUGGAUGGGGAA
RNAcentral lists this transfer RNA (72 nucleotides) under Bos taurus (domestic cattle). It matches the Rfam family "tRNA". From Rfam's summary of the family: Transfer RNA (tRNA) molecules are approximately 80 nucleotides in length. The record is from Rfam by way of RNAcentral. RNAcentral also lists the same sequence under 5 other names. Lineage: Eukaryota; Metazoa; Chordata; Mammalia; Artiodactyla; Bovidae.